UGCAGGCGGCGGCGCAGGGACCCCGGGCCGCGGGGCAGUGGAGACCUGUCCAGGGCCAAUGCGGGCGCUGGGAACAGUGCCACGUGCUGACCAGAGCUGGCAGCACCCGGGACCCCGGGGAGGUCCUGCCGCAGCCUCGAGACCGCGGAAGUGGCGGCCGAGCCAGCUUUGCACCUGGGGACCCUCCCGCGCGGUCCUCCUCCCGGAGAGCCUCGGGGCCCAGCCACGCCCAGGCCCUCGGAGGGUCUCAGGGGAAACAGGAUCACCUUUCUUCUGUCCUGAGCACCACCCACCAUGGGAAGGAAGUCAUCCAGACUUGGGGAUGGCACCAGAAGAUCUCAGAAAUGACCCUCUCCUAAAUUAACAAGUGAAUUACAGCUCAGACCUAGAACACGUGGAAGGUGGCCUUUGAAUCACCUCUUUAAAAGCCCCCUUGUUCCUGCUCAUGGGCAGAAUCCCAGCCUCUGGGACAGCAGUCCCCUGUGUUUCUCCUUUGCUAGCAAAGCAGUAAACCUUGUUUUUUCCUUUUUGUCAAAA
Long non-coding RNA from Marmota monax (woodchuck), 537 nucleotides. RefSeq lists it as uncharacterized. The record is from RefSeq and is a predicted model, not a curated record. NCBI's taxonomy places the organism in Eukaryota, Metazoa, Chordata, Mammalia, Rodentia, Sciuridae. The transcript is spliced from 2 exons.